RNAcentral lists this long non-coding RNA (1413 nucleotides) under Sorghum bicolor (sorghum). RNAcentral describes it as "long non-coding RNA (SBIC_LNC000058)". The record is from RNAcentral. Lineage: Eukaryota; Viridiplantae; Streptophyta; Magnoliopsida; Poales; Poaceae.
ACAGCGAGCUGAACUUUGAAGAAGAAGAAGAAGCUAUUUUUAGCUUCAUUCCAUACCAAUUUCUUGUGGCAGCAGGUUUCAAGAAGCUUCACGUGAAUCUAUUUUUUAAAAAAUAAAUGUUUGACAUAAAACAAUUUCAAACAACUCAUAAAACCUACUGAAAAAACCAUGCCAAACAAGACCUAAAUCAGCGGCCCUGUUAAGCACAUGUUUGUUUGGUGAAGCUCAACUCCUUCGUGCAAUUAGGAGACGUUAACAAUAUCUUUUUUCCCCAUUAGAAGCCUCUCCGUACGCUAAAUGUUUGCUUAGCAGAAAGGCUAUAACUUAAAGAUUGUUUACUGAUUUAUUAUGAAAGAAAAACAAUGCUAAAUAACUCAUAAAUUCAGUAGAUAAAUUCAAGCGAACAUGCUCGCUGUAGUAAAAAGCUGGAGCUAAACAAAACCGUGUCACAUAGUGCCUGUUUGGUGAAGUUUUGGUCAGUUCUGACUUGAGUUCUUUUUGCGCACUACAGUAAAGUGAUAUUUUGUCUCUAUUACCAUUAAAAUAAAUUAGAAACUGAUAAUGCAACAGUUUAGGCCUUGUUUAGUUGUAAAAAGUUUUUGGAUUUUGACACUGUAGCACUUUUAUUUGUUUGUGACAAAUAUUGUCUAAUCAUAGACUAAUUAGAAUCAAAAGAUUCGUCUCGCGAUUUACAGGCAAACUGUUUAUUUAGUUUUUAUUUUCGUCUAUAUUUAGUGUUUCAUGCAUGUGCCGCAAGAUUCGAUAUGACAGAGAAUCUUGAAAUCUUUUUAGUUUUUGGAGUGAACUAGACAAGGCCUUAUUUUUUUUUCCUUCACUGGUUCCUCCGUGGACUGGCGUCAUUUUAGCAGCACUGCACCAGUGAUGAACCGGAUCGUCCUGGAUGUACACACAGUGGUCUGCGUCAGUGCACUGCCGGCCCAGAGAAGGUAUAGUUCUACUCAUUUUAUAUGGGCUGAAGUGAUACUUUUGGCCCACAAAAUGUCCAAUGGGCUGUCGCCCGGAUGCCAACUUCGAAGGCCCGAAGAGUCAAGUUUCCCUCUUACCUGGUACAAAAAGAAAAAGAGAAAAAAAGAGAGGCGGAAACACACCGUAAUUCGUGGUAAUUAAUCUGCAUGGUAAGGGAAAGUGCCUCUGAUUACAAAAAAAAUUACGUCUUGAUUGAAGACCAUGAAACAUGUUUCAUAUUUAAAAAUAACCCGGACUAUCAACAAAGGAGCAAUGUUUCGUUUUCUACACGACAAUACGUAAAAGGAACGCAAUAAAAGCCAUUCCACAUUCCCCAGUCCCCCACCUAGGGCGCCAAACCAGAGACGGCGGGCAAGGAAAAAAAGAAAACCCUCCCAAUCAUGAGCCGUCCGCGCCCGAUCCGACGGCCACGGACCCUCCCAGGGC